CCGCCGCGUAGCGGGCGCGUUUGGCGGCCUUGCGGGCCUCGUGGAGGGCCAGGUCGCGCUCCUCGCCCGGGUGCAGGUCCAGGGCGGCGGC
Molecule: transfer RNA, 91 nt
Filed under: Streptomyces vinaceus
Lineage: Bacteria; Bacillati; Actinomycetota; Actinomycetes; Kitasatosporales; Streptomycetaceae
Description: tRNA-Ala
Source: RNAcentral